Molecule: long non-coding RNA, 331 nt
Filed under: Elaeis guineensis (African oil palm)
Lineage: Eukaryota; Viridiplantae; Streptophyta; Magnoliopsida; Arecales; Arecaceae
Description: long non-coding RNA (EGUI_LNC062906)
Source: RNAcentral
AGUGGCCGCGGGUUUGCCUAAGGCCAUUCGGGCUUGGUGUCCCCUCAGGGCUUGAGCUCGAAGGUCCGAGCUUCUGUCGCCCUGAGGAAGUUGUCAUAUUUUGCGUCGAAAGCUUCCUUGAAGGCUGAGACUCCUGAUGGGAGCCCCACUCCUUGCUGUGACGGGGUUCUAUGCACCUCGGGCGCUGUUUGUUUUCCAAUCGUCGUUGAUGGGGUCCAUCGCCUUUCCUUUUUUUUUCGCUUGGAAUCUUUCUCCGCUCUCAGCGAGGCUACGGGAGUUUGGCUCCCGUAGGCGAAGUCGGGGCGAAGUUUGGCUCCUGUGGGAGUCUGGG